Lepidothrix coronata (blue-crowned manakin) is the source of this 3663-nucleotide long non-coding RNA. RefSeq lists it as uncharacterized. The record is from RefSeq and is a predicted model, not a curated record. The transcript has 7 exons. NCBI's taxonomy places the organism in Eukaryota, Metazoa, Chordata, Aves, Passeriformes, Pipridae.
CCCGCCCCCCCGGAGCACCGCCCGGCCGCCCAGCGCAGCCCCGCGGGCAGGUGGAGGGUCCCCCCGCCCUCGGCUCCUCGGGGGCUUCGUCCCCUCUCCCGAAAGAGUGUCAGAAAAAUCAUAAGCACAAACUGCAGCUGGUGCUUCUGUAGCCAGGGAGGAUCGGUGGGAGCAAAUGAGCUGCUCCCCACACUGCUUGGCUUUUGGGGGCACUGGCUGUGCCUGUCCUCUGCCCUUUGGGGACAAAACUGGUGUAAUGAUUGCACUCGGAUUCCUUCAGGCUCCAAACCAGACAAGAGAUAGGAACCAGGAAUCCUUUUCAAAGUCGUGUUUUAACAAAGGAUAUUCCUCUUGUUUUUCCAGACACGCAACUUACAAUAUUUGGAGUUGUGCCCUCUGCAAAUUGAAUCCACAGUCCUGAAAACCCGCAGCUGAUGCCAAGCAUUUUAAUCUUACCAGAAGUAAACAGUGAGCACCAAUUUACAUAAAAAUCAACAUGUAAAAUUAUUUCAGUGUUAACAUUGUGACACUGCAAGUAUAUUGGGUGACUUUGGGGCCGCUCAACGCUUUUUAAAUGGAUGCUGCUGCUACAACAGAUUCAGGUCGUGUUUGUUUUUCAGAUGUUUGUAGGAAAUUAUGUGGAUUAAAAAGCUCUGCUUUAGGAAAAUGAAAUGAAAAGAAGCAUAUUCUUCAAGGACCACUGAGUCUGGAGGUCUUUUGGAAGUCUUCCUGGAAGGAGAAUUUCAGCAGGGUGGGAGGUUUGGGAGCCUGGAGGAUGCUCCAGAGGUUCAAAAGGUCUCCUGCUCCCUCUGAGGGUGGUGGCAGAUAUCAGUGAGCACAGCUGCUUGGGCACUGCCUGCACCUCUGUGGGGGCAGAGGAGUAUCAGCAGGUGGGUUUCCCUGCUCAGCUCAGAGUGAAGAAAAAGGAGGAAUAAAUCCAGCUAAAAGCAGAUAUUUCAAGAAUUGCUCCAAAGCUGCUGUUUUCAUUCCAGGUGGUGCUUAUAGAGAUCACAUCGCUGCAGGUUUAGCCAGCUUGGGAUUGUCAUAAUUAGUCUCCCAGGAGAGCAUCAGGGAACUGUGGAAGAAAAGGCCAGACCAGCAGCUGGUGAGAUCACCCAGUGACUUGUGCCCAGCUUUACAGGGACCUCCUGCCUGACCCACGACAUCAUGACCAUGGAUCAGCCACAGGAUCAUGUUCUGCUUCAACAUCCCCCCCCCAGAGGGGAAGGAGGAGCCAGGCAAGGUGUAUUAGCAGCCCCAGCCCAAGGGCUUUGUGGUGCCUGCACGACCCUUUGCAUCCCAGAGGAAUAAAAGAUGGGACACAGCAGUGGGACUGUGGAGGCAGGUGGAGAGGACGGUGCUGUGAGUCUGUUUUGCAGCUGCAGUUUUGCAGAUCUCAGGGGUCUAGAUGGGAAAUCUGUGAGGGCAAAGGGGUGACAGGGAUAAAAAGCAUCCUACACCCCAUCUGGGUUUGUGCCACCUCCAGCUCUGCAGGAGCUGUGGCGUCGGAACUGGGAACAUCCAUCCCAGAGUCUAGCAGUUCCUUCUGGGGCUUCUGGAGACCUAAUUCCCAAAUAGCAGCUUCCCUUCUGUGCUCACAGCCCUUGCCACUGGGCCAAGAAACCCAGAGACGACCAGUGCUGGGGGCAGCACUCACCAGGAGUCCUGGCUAUGAUGCCUUGGGCUUCACCCUUGUCUACCCCAAAAAUGCCUGGGCAAGGGGGGCAGGGCUUGGCCAGGAUGGAACGUGGCAGCUCCAGGGGUGCAUGGCAUGAUCCCCCUCCAGUGCCUGGAAGAUUCAGGGGUCUGGAAUGAUAAAGCACCUCCCACCCCAAACCCACAGGUUUUUCCUCCUCAGUGUUACCCACUCACUGUUGCCCCCAGCCUGGCCGGGGUCGGUGCUGUGCUGCUGACCUGGCCAGGUGGAGAUGCCAAGGCAAGUAAUUUUUUUUGGCUUUUUCACAUUUUCAGCUUGUUAACAACCGUUGUUCCCUCCACAUCUGCCAGCUCAGGAGAGAACCGCUGCUUUAGCUCUGUGUCGCCAGGGAGAGCUUAAACAUCGUCAUUAAAAAAUUCCUGCCUUGCAUCAUCUCCUCAGACAUGCAGGAAGAAACCUUUGCAAUUAGAUUCCCCGUGCACUGGCAGGAGGGCAGGAGUUCUUCCUUUUUUUCCCCUUUCUGUAAUGAUGAUGUUCUGUGAUUUUAGGGCAGCAGGGAAAAAAUAAAAAAGAAAAAAAAAUUAAAAAGAAGCCUGUUUGAUUUUCCUCAUUAUGUUAAGCCUGGUUUUACUUUCUGAUUGCCAAAGCAUGAUAAAUGGAACAAAGAUUACCUAGAGAUUUUCAAAGAUUUGCUUUCAAUUUGAUUUUUCCUGAGCCUCAUUAAGCCUGCAGGUUUUAUCUACACUUUGUUCUUACAGUGGAGUGACAUGACCAUAUAUUAAUAGCCAUAUUUUUUUCCGUUGAAAUUAAAACCAGAUAGAGGCUUCUCAUGCUUUGCUUUCAAAUCCUAUUUUAAAAAAUAUUGAUCAUGUGUGUGUUGUUUUCCUUUCCCUCUGACACUGCUGGCUCUGUAAAGGACAUUCGCCAGGGAAAUGCUUUCAGUCCUGGAUCUCUGGGCAUUACUGGGUGCAGUUUUGUGGAUUAAGGAACAUAUUUUGGAAGGUAUAAUGUAAAGAUAAAAGAAAAACGUGGCUUUCAACAGAGAGGCAGACAAGAAAAAUAAGAUAUUAAAGCAGGAGCUCUACAGUCAGGGGGUACAGAGGAGCUUAGACAAGAUAAGAUAAUCUAUGAUGUGCCCACGUGCAUCUUUCAGGAGAAAAAUGCCAUUGGAAGAGCUCAUCCUCCAUGAUUUGAGGAGAAACUCAUGGCUGAGAGUCCUGUGUGCUGCUGUCUAGAAGUUUGGAAAAGGGUGGCAGGGGCUGGGCAUGAAGGACAGUGUGGGACACACCCACACAAAGCCACCCUGACAUUCCUGAUGGUGUUCCUUCUGCCGGAGCCGGGAGAACGGACCCACCUCCUGUGUUUUCCAGUAUCAUCAAUAUACUUGAUCCUGAGGUGUCCCUUUGGCAAAGGGGAGUCCCGGGAACCGUUUGCUCCCAAACCUGGACCAGGUGUUUGCACGUACUGAACAAACGGAGUUUCACCGUGAAAGAAGUGACAUCCCUGCCGGUGGUGGCUGCUGCACUCCUGUGGCCGCCAGCCAAGUCCACAUCAGCCAUGAUCCAGCUUUUUGACCUCUCCUUCCAUCCGUGAAUCCCCGGCGUGGAUCCAAAGCCUUUGGACGGCAGCGCUGAGCUGCAGAACAAGGGGUCCGGCUCGUAAAAUUUGAACAACAACAACAACAAAAAAAAAACCACACCAAAAAACAACCCCCAAAACAGCCCUAGAGAUGCAAAUCUGUGGGGCGGCCGGUUUUUGGGAAGGGAUGCAGGGAUGCUCGGCGCGUGCACCGCCCGGUGUCACCAGGAGGUGGCACAGCCCGAGCGGGGAUGUCGCGCCGGGUCCCGCAUCCCGGGCUGGACCCGCAUCCCGGCACCCCCCAAAACGCGAGCGGCGGGAUUCGUCGGUUCCAGGAAAGAGGAGAAAAGGAUCUCGCGUCUCCUUUCUCGGAAAGCCAUCGUGCAAAACCCGCGCGCACGGAAAACAAACGGACAAAAAAAAAAAAA